UCAUCCAGGCAAGCAGUGGGUAGGGGAAGGGGGCAGCCAAGAGCAGCAGGGCCCCACAGCUCCUUCCCACUGCCCCCCCUUCCUCUAGACUUGAUUCGUCCGCCUAGGGUUAGGGUCAUGCCAGGCAGGGCCCAAGGCCAGUCCUGGGAGCUGGGGGUGCCUGUCUCACCCCCAGAGCCCAGAGCUGACACCUCUCCCAGUCCCUGCAGUGAAGGUAGCAGGGAAGAGGCAUGGAAGGGUGAGUGCCAGGCAGUGUUCAUCAAACCAGCUUCUGCACUGGGGACACCAGCUACCAGGCAGAGCCCCUCCUCCCAGUACCACCAGACUAGGCGUGAACAGGCGAUGCUGUGCUAGCAGGGACAGGGGACAGGACAGCUUGUUCGCCCUGUAGAGGAUGGGGCUCUGUGAGAGCAGAGAGUCAGCAGGGACCUGAGGCAGAGCUGCACAAAGGAAGAGCCCUAAAGGCAGAGGGGGACAGUGAGUGCCAGGGCCUGGGUGGGGGUGGGCAUGCCUGCCGGUAAGGGGACAUGGGCUGGCGGACAGCAAGGGCAGAGCCAGUGUAGGGCCUUCAGGCAGCAGGGAGGUGAUGGGACUCCAAGUGCAUGGUGAAGGCAGUGCCAAGGAAGGGCAGAGGGCUGAUCCCAGGCCCCGAGGGAGACACUGGGUAAGCCGCCAUCAGAGGUAGGGCAGGGACUCAGUGAGAGUCUGGAUUCGGGUGUCCAGAAUGUGCCACCAAACAAUAAUGUGCCUUUCUGAGGUGGGCCACCCCAGCUUUGGUCCUCUUGGCUGGCAUGCUCUUCUGUAGGUGAUUGCCAUGUCCUGCUCCAUCCUCAGGUGGGUCCAGGCAGGUUCGCACAGCACCCAGGGGCUCAGAUGGAGCAGGAAGCAGGAAGGGGCAGGCCUGGGUCAACACCUUGAGGGCAGCCUCCCUAGUGUCGGGGCCCAGGAGCAGGGGCCUCACUCUGCCUCCUCCUUCCUCGCCCACCCUCUCCGGCUCAGGCACUGCCAGCAUGGUGCCCAGCCCACGUGCCCAGGUGGGGCAUGCCUCUCACGAGCUCAGAGCUGAGGCUGG
Molecule: long non-coding RNA, 1072 nt
Filed under: Marmota monax (woodchuck)
Lineage: Eukaryota; Metazoa; Chordata; Mammalia; Rodentia; Sciuridae
Source: RNAcentral